Molecule: ribosomal RNA, 492 nt
Filed under: uncultured bacterium
Lineage: Bacteria
Description: partial 16S ribosomal RNA
Rfam family: Bacterial small subunit ribosomal RNA
Source: RNAcentral
AUUGAACGCUGGCGGCAUGCUUUACACAUGCAAGUCGAGCGGUAACAGGCCUUCGGGUGCUGACGAGUGGCGAACGGGUGAGUAAUGCAUCGGAACGUACCCAGAGGUGGGGGAUAACGCAGCGAAAGCUGUGCUAAUACCGCAUGUGAUCUGAGGAUGAAAGCGGGGGACCGAGCAGCAAUGUUUGGCCUCGCGCCUUUGGAGCGGCCGAUGUCGGAUUAGCUAGUUGGUGGGGUAAAGGCCUACCAAGGCGACGAUCCGUAGCUGGUCUGAGAGGACGGCCAGCCACACUGGGACUGAGACACGGCCCAGACUCCUACGGGAGGCAGCAGUGGGGAAUUUUGGACAAUGGGCGCAAGCCUGAUCCAGCAAUGCCGCGUGCGGGAAGAAGGCCUUCGGGUUGUAAACCGCUUUUGGCAGGAACGAAACGGUGUCCGCUAAUACCGGGCGCUAAUGACGGUACCUGCAGAAUAAGCACCGGCUAACUACGUG